GUCUGGCUCAACAAGAUAGGGUUCUGGAGUCCCAAGUUGGAAGGGAAAAUGGGCUCAGAGGUAGUUUCAGCGUCUCAAAUGACAGUCCCAAGGAGGUCUUUGACUGAUCACACACUGUUGUCCACAUUCUUGUCGAGAUGCUCAAAGAAUUCAAUAGAUUGAGAUGCAGAGAGAAUUAGAAUUCAGUAGCUGAGCAAGUAUGGAGAAAUGCAGUCCAAAAGGGAUGAAUGAAUACAAAGUCUGAAAGAAAAAUGCAAGAGGUGUGCUUUUAUGACUCCUUUCUUGGACUCAUGCAUCCAUAUCCUGAAUAUGCAAAAAGUAAGUAAUACUGUUUUCUUACUGCAAUUCACUGGCAGAUUCAUUACCAUUUCAUGGGAGAGUGGAACAGAAUCUUCGUCAUGUUACAGCAGUGUCUCAACCAUUGGAAAUAAAGCUGCCUGUUGGAAGGCAAAAAGAAAAGUUGUUAGUUUCCAAUUCUCUUUGAAGUAGUCUUAAGUUUAUAUCCAUUUCAAUGAAACCAGAAGUGGAUUUGAAGAUUGUCAGAGGAUGUAAAUAUAUAUAUUUGUUGAAAUAUUUUGGGGGAAUGGAUUGUAGUGCAUUGAAAUUAAGCUGUAAAGGGGAAAUCUACAUGAUAAAGGGUAUAAGAAGUUGCAUUUGCUUUUGAAGUCUGAUAAAAAAAAUAUCUAUCCUGCAGGAAUGGAUUUUUGGAUAGGACAAAAUUCACAACAUUCUCUUGGGGCUGACUGAUGUUUAGAUCAAUAUGAAAUAACGGAUGGUACAAAUUUACUAGUAGGUUCGAUGUAGUGCAGAUUUGUUCAGUGUGAAAUUUU
Molecule: long non-coding RNA, 830 nt
Organism: Gopherus evgoodei (Goodes thornscrub tortoise)
Lineage: Eukaryota; Metazoa; Chordata; Testudines; Testudinidae
Exons: 4
Source: RefSeq, a predicted model, not a curated record